This 429-nucleotide ribosomal RNA is filed under the name bacterium. RNAcentral's name for it is "partial 16S ribosomal RNA". It matches the Rfam family "Bacterial small subunit ribosomal RNA", at positions 355 to 776 of the family's 1533-position model. The record is from RNAcentral.
UAGGGAAUCUUCGGCAAUGGGGGCAACCCUGACCGAGCAACGCCGCGUGAGUGAAGAAGGUUUUCGGAUCGUAAAGCUCUGUUGUAAGAGAAGAACGUGUGUGAGAGUGGAAAGUUCACACAGUGACGGUAACUUACCAGAAAGGGACGGCUAACUACGUGCCAGCAGCCGCGGUAAUACGUAGGUCCCGAGCGUUGUCCGGAUUUAUUGGGCGUAAAGCGAGCGCAGGCGGUUUAAUAAGUCUGAAGUUAAAGGCAGUGGCUUAACCAUUGUUCGCUUUGGAAACUGUUAAACUUGAGUGCAGAAGGGGAGAGUGGAAUUCCAUGUGUAGCGGGGAAAUGCGUAGAUAUAUGGAGGAACACCGGUGGCGAAAGCGGCUCUCUGGUCUGUAACUGACGCUGAGGCUCGAAAGCGUGGGGAGCAAACAGG